Molecule: ribosomal RNA, 433 nt
Filed under: uncultured bacterium
Lineage: Bacteria
Description: partial 16S ribosomal RNA
Rfam family: Bacterial small subunit ribosomal RNA
Source: RNAcentral
AACGAACGCUGGCGGCAUGCCUAACACAUGCAAGUCGAACGAGACCUUCGGGUCUAGUGGCGCACGGGUGCGUAACGCGUGGGAACCUGCCCUUAGGUUCGGAAUAACUCCCCGAAAGGGGUGCUAAUACCGGAUAAUGUCUUCGGACCAAAGAUUUAUCUCCUUUGGAUGGGCCCGCGUUGGAUUAGCUAGUUGGUAGGGUUAAAGCCUACCAAGGCGACGAUCCAUAGCUGGUCUGAGAGGAUGAUCAGCCACACUGGGACUGAGACACGGCCCAGACUCCUACGGGAGGCAGCAGUGGGGAAUAUUGGACAAUGGGCGAAAGCCUGAUCCAGCAAUGCCGCGUGAGUGAUGAAGGCCUUAGGGUUGUAAAGCUCUUUUACCCGGGAUGAUAAUGACAGUACCGGGAGAAUAAGCUCCGGCUAACUCCGUG